GACGAACGCUGGCGGCGUGCUUAACACAUGCAAGUCGAACGGAAAGGCCCCUUUGGGGGUACUCGAGUGGCGAACGGGUGAGUAACACGUGAGUAACCUGCCCUUGACUUCGGGAUAACUUCAGGAAACUGGGGUUAAUACCGGAUAGGAAUCCUUGCUGCAUGGUGGGGGUUGGAAAGCUUCGGCGGUUUUGGAUGGACUCGCGGCUUAUCAGCUUGUUGGUGGGGUAGUGGCUUACCAAGGCUUUGACGGGUAGCCGGCCUGAGAGGGCGACCGGCCACAUUGGGACUGAGAUACGGCCCAGACUCCUACGGGAGGCAGCAGUGGGGAAUAUUGCACAAUGGGCGGAAGCCUGAUGCAGCAACGCCGCGUGCGGGAUGACGGCCUUCGGGUUGUAAACCGCUUUCAGCAGGGGCGAAGCUUGUGGUGACGGUACCUGCAGAAGAAGCACCGGCUAACUACGU
Molecule: ribosomal RNA, 464 nt
Filed under: uncultured bacterium
Lineage: Bacteria
Description: partial 16S ribosomal RNA
Rfam family: Bacterial small subunit ribosomal RNA
Source: RNAcentral